AUGGGUGCACAGCACACAACACAAUACUAGUAAAGGUGGGGCUUUUCAUUUUCAAACCUUAUACACUACCUCGGAAUUCGGAAAAAGAAAGAACCUCUCUCUCUCUCUCUCUCUCACACACACACACACACUUCUCUGUAAUAUAAUGUCUCAUCUGCCUGCACUCUCUUCUUAUCACUCUCUUCUUAUCUCUGCUGUUUGUCUUCAGAUAAUAAAAACUCACUUUCCCAAUCCCAUGGCAUUUUUCAUACCCAUUUCCUCAACACGUGCUUUCUGGUCCAAAGGUUUGGAGAAAUUUGUGGUGGAUGGCACAAGGAAUCGAUCAUCUUGCUUAACACAUGAAAGAUUUUUUGUCGCUUGAAGGUAUUGGAGUUAUGGAUUGAUAUGCCUGAAGUUUGGAAUAGGGAAUGAAGCCAUUGGUCCUAGUAGUUUAAUUUAUAUGUAAUAUAUUAUUGAAUUAUUUGUACAUUGUUUGAUGUAGUCUGGAUCAAUCAUUUGUUGUACAUCAAUUUGCUAUAUAUAGUGGCCGCUUGAACUUUCCUACUUUAAAUGCUUAUAGUUUUUUUCUUUUAAUUUCAUUGUUUCCUUUGUUAGGUUUGCUAAGUAGAAGCACCAACUUCUGACCUCAUUUUUGCCUUCACCCUUGCAGCUAUAUGUUUCCAUACUAAGCAAUUUUCCAGCAUUCUCUGAUAUUUGUUUCUUCAUCACAUCAUGCAAAUGAUCCAUGAGUUGUUUCCA
Long non-coding RNA from Vigna umbellata (rice bean), 738 nucleotides. RefSeq lists it as uncharacterized. The record is from RefSeq and is a predicted model, not a curated record. NCBI's taxonomy places the organism in Eukaryota, Viridiplantae, Streptophyta, Magnoliopsida, Fabales, Fabaceae.